UGCCUCACCUAGGCCUGUGGCUUCUUGCCUGGCAGGUGCCACUUCUCCACUUUUAAGCAGUGCCAAGAGUGGCUCUCACGGCUAAGCCGAGCCACAGCAAGACCUGCCAAGCCUGAAGACCUCUUUGCCUUUGCCUACCAUGCCUGGUGCCUGGGGCUGACCGAGGAGGACCAGCACACUCACCUAUGUCAGCCAGGUGAGCACAUACGUUGUCGGCAGGAGGCGGAGCUUGCGAGGAUGGGCUUUGACCUGCAGAACGUCUGGAGAGUCUCACACAUCAACAGCAACUACAAGUGAGAGGGUUGGGGACCAAAACACCUUCCACACCAAACUACUUCCGUGUUUGGAUAAAGUGUGGUGGGCACAGCUUCUGAGUCUGAGAGGGAGGAAGGCUCAUGGUUUCUCUUCCCACAAAGCCAUCCCCAGGGAUCCUGUCAUC
This 439-nucleotide small RNA is filed under the name Pan troglodytes (chimpanzee). RNAcentral's name for it is "retained intron". Lineage: Eukaryota; Metazoa; Chordata; Mammalia; Primates; Hominidae. The record is from RNAcentral.